GCGCCUCUCACUUCAUCUAUGCCUACGACCUUAAUUUCUCUGGAUUUGAAGGGGUUUUGGAGGCCGGAUUUUGCUAAAAUUUAGAUGUGGAGAGAGCUGGAGAGUUUCAGGUUUCGUUGAUUUACGUUUAAUUUGCAGUGCCAAUUGAUUCGCUAUGGAUUCCGUAUCAAGUCGCGAUGAUUCUUGGGAAGAUCUUUGCAGUCUCGGCAUUUUCUAUAAUGCUCCAUGUAAUGAACACAAAGCCAAGCUUAUGCUGAAGCCAUUACAUCCGAACGAGCAUUGGAAAUUAUCUUCGAGCCAAUUCGACAAGACACACAUCUUCAGGUGAUUCGGGAGCAGAUGUAUCUCUAUCUUUGAUUUUUGAAUCGAAUAGUGACUGGGUUGUAGGCACCGGUGAAUUGUUGUUUAACUCGAACUCAUGAAGGCUGGAAGGACACACAGUGAUGAAUCGACCCACCGCUAUUAGGUAUUGUAUGCUUUGGUCUGUUUUGUAUCGUCGUUAGUUUCACGGUUUCAAAACGAGUCUGUUAGGGAGCAAUUUCCACACUCUUAUAAAGAAUGUUUCAUUUCCUUCUUCAACCGAUGUGAGAUCUAUGUGAGAUGAUUAACUCGCAGAUCACCUCUUUUUAAACUUAGA
This is a non-coding RNA of Cucurbita pepo subsp. pepo (vegetable marrow), 637 nucleotides long. The record is from RefSeq and is a predicted model, not a curated record. Lineage: Eukaryota; Viridiplantae; Streptophyta; Magnoliopsida; Cucurbitales; Cucurbitaceae.